This is a non-coding RNA of Paramuricea clavata, 1255 nucleotides long. Lineage: Eukaryota; Metazoa; Cnidaria; Anthozoa; Malacalcyonacea; Plexauridae. The record is from the annotation of a GenBank genome assembly.
UUUAUAUCUAUACAAUACAGCGUCCGUUUCAGCAACAUGCUUCAACAAAAAGAGUAAUCGGCUGUCAUACUUAGGUUUCCAACGAUGAUAAAUGUAUUCAUGUUUAAUUAACACACUCGUCAGUUCUUAUAGCGCUUCCAUAGAGAACAGAGCUAACAAGAAAAGCGAUUUAAAAGAAAAUAACUCGGGAUACUGAAUACAAAGUGAGUAUGAGUAUCUGAUAAAAAUCUACAAAUUGUUUAAUUAACUUGUAAGUGAAGCAUGCGUGCAGUGAUUGAUUGUAGCGUAAUUGAAUCAGAGGUUUGACAAAAACAAAUUUUAUGACCCUAUAUUCCUGAAUACAUUCGACGAUCUACAAAUCCUCUGCUUAUGUGGCAAUUUCUUUGAUUUGAACACACGUCUUCCUGUUUUAUACAGUUAAAUGAUCAACAAGCUGAACAAUGCAAACAGCGGUAUUUUACUUCCAGGCUUUUCUGCAAUGUCUAAUUAAUUUUUGCCCAAAUGUAGAUCUCUGAAAGGAAAUCUUAAUCUAACUGUUUCAGAUGUUUCCAAAUUCUCUUACAGGAAUCAAGCUCGUAAACAGACCUUGUCGACGUUGUCUUAGUCAAACUAAUUUUGUAAGUUACUAGAUAUUAUUAAAGUGAAGCUGUUCGGCAACAGGGGCUAAAUGAAAAGUAUACACUGGAUGAAUGUAUAUAUGCAUCAAUUUUAUGUGCUGCAAAAUUAACUACUUGUAUUUUUAAAAGUCAUAAAAUGUCAUGUCAUGUCACGUCAUGUACUAGUUAAAACACAAGCAGCUGAUCUUUAUCUGAUCGACCCGAAGGCGAGAGUUUGUAUAUAAGAUAAAGAUCGGAUGCGAAUGUUUUAACGUAUGAAAAAAUGACCCAUCCUAAAAAACGACCAUAAACAUUGUCUAUAAGCCAAGAAAUCAAAGCUGAAGUUUAUGUAAAGCAGAACAAAUCUUUAUCCGAUUUAUAAACAUUGAUUAAACAUUCAUUUCUUUUGAAUUUUCGUCAUGAAUUUUUAAUGAGUACUUUAAGUUAUGUUAUCAUGUUCUGUUCUGACAUGUUGUGCUGUAUUAUGUUGUGUGUCGUGUCAUGAUUUCUUGAGUUAUAAAAUUGAGCUCCGUAAACGUAUAUUUAUCAUAGAUGUUCUCGUUUUAACUUUACCAGCACGAUGCGAAACGAAUUGAUUACAUAUCUUGUGAUUGCUGUCGUUAACACUGCGUGUGCUGUUGAUCCAGCGGACCCAAGAG